AACGGGGAGCAGCCCAGAGCCUGAAUCAGUGUGUGUGUUAGUGGAAGCGUCUGGAAAGGCGUGCGAUACAGGGUGACAGCCCCGUACACAAAAAUGCACAUACUGUGAGCUCGAUGAGUAGGGCGGGACACGUGGUAUCCUGUCUGAAUAUGGGGGGACCAUCCUCCAAGGCUAAAUACUCCUGACUGACCGAUAGUGAACCAGUACCGUGAGGGAAAGGCGAAAAGAACCCCGGCGAGGGGAGUGAAAAAGAACCUGAAACCGUGUACGUACAAGCAGUGGGAGCACGCUUAGGCGUGUGACUGCGUACCUUUUGUAUAAUGGGUCAGCGACUUAUAUUCUGUAGCAAGGUUAACCGAAUAGGGGAGCCGAAGGGAAACCGAGUCUUAACUGGGCGUUAAGUUGCAGGGUAUAGACCCGAAACCCGGUGAUCUAGCCAUGGGCAGGUUGAAGGUUGGGUAACACUAACUGGAGGACCGAACCGACUAAUGUUGAAAAAUUAGCGGAUGACUUGUGGCUGGGGGUGAAAGGCCAAUCAAACCGGGAGAUAGCUGGUUCUCCCCGAAAGCUAUUUAGGUAGCGCCUCGUGAAUUCAUCUCCGGGGGUAGAGCACUGUUUCGGCAAGGGGGUCAUCCCGACUUACCAACCCGAUGCAAACUGCGAAUACCGGAGAAUGUUAUCACGGGAGACACACGGCGGGUGCUAACGUCCGUCGUGAAGAGGGAAACAACCCAGACCGCCAGCUAAGGUCCCAAAGUCAUGGUUAAGUGGGAAACGAUGUGGGAAGGCCCAGACAGCCAGGAUGUUGGCUUAGAAGCAGCCAUCAUUUAAAGAAAGCGUAAUAGCUCACUGGUCGAGUCGGCCUGCGCGGAAGAUGUAACGGGGCUAAACCAUGCACCGAAGCUGCGGCAGCGACGCUUAUGCGUUGUUGGGUAGGGGAGCGUUCUGUAAGCCUGCGAAGGUGUGCUGUGAGGCAUGCUGGAGGUAUCAGAAGUGCGAAUGCUGACAUAAGUAACGAUAAAGCGGGUGAAAAGCCCGCUCGCCGGAAGACCAAGGGUUCCUGUCCAACGUUAAUCGGGGCAGGGUGAGUCGACCCCUAAGGCGAGGCCGAAAGGCGUAGUCGAUGGGAAACAGGUUAAUAUUCCUGUACUUGGUGUUACUGCGAAGGGGGGACGGAGAAGGCUAUGUUGGCCGGGCGACGGUUGUCCCGGUUUAAGCGUGUAGGCUGGUUUUCCAGGCAAAUCCGGAAAAUCAAGGCUG
This 1260-nucleotide ribosomal RNA is filed under the name Escherichia coli. RNAcentral's name for it is "partial 23S ribosomal RNA". It matches the Rfam family "Bacterial large subunit ribosomal RNA", at positions 289 to 1558 of the family's 2925-position model. The record is from RNAcentral. Lineage: Bacteria; Pseudomonadati; Pseudomonadota; Gammaproteobacteria; Enterobacterales; Enterobacteriaceae.